UCUAUGAAAUGUGUUUGCAUGUUCUUCUCCGCGAGCGGGGAUGUAGAGGUGGGAUUGCGAGAAUCGAAAGGUUGGAGAGCCCGCACGCUCAGCUUCCGAGAAAGCUUGGAGACGGUCCGCUUGGACAGUGGGAGCCCUCCCCUCCUCUUCGUUCUGGUUUGGUGAUGCUUCCUACAGGAGCAGCAUUUCGGUGGUUCCAGUAAGACUCUGACCCUCCACUCUAACCCUUACCUACACAAACCCAAAGCUCUGCGAUCAAGUGCAAUGCCAACUCUCGCUUCGAUUGUAUCGGGCAUGGACACUGGCUGACAAGAAAACUUACAACAAAUAAAAAGAUAUAAAAAAAAAUUACGAAACAGGAAUGAUACAAAAUAAUCAACUGAGUAAUGGAUGCACCUAAUUAUUCCUUGAACCAAAAAUUAAAUAUAAAGAAAAUAAUCUAUGGCAACUUUCAUUCAUUCCCUUUUCUAUGUUCCCAUUUUGGUACAUUUUGUCCUGUUUCCAGCAGGUCUUUUCUGUCGCUCAGACAUGGAACUGUUCAUUGCUAAACAGAAAUGACUGACUGAGUGUGGACAAUCAACACAUGUCUGUGUUUGGUGUUAAUGUUGUUCACAUGUGGAAAGAUACAGUACUUGUGUAGAGAAUGUACAUUUAUGGCUAUAUUUUAAAACUAGUGGCUAAUGGCAGGCACUAUUGUAAUUUAGCACCAUUGUUCUUAUCUAAACCCUUGUCUAUUUUAUGAUUUAUAUUGUUGCAAGAAUAUAGUUUGAAACGGAUCAAUGGUUGUCUUUUAAAAGAAAAAGGAAAUGUUUCAAAAUGUAAAAAUCCAGAUUUCUGAUUCAAAUGAAAAAGCAACUCUCAUCCUAUGGGGCAGAAGUCUAGGGGACUCUUUAGCAGGAUGAUCCUAACCUCCAGAGAACUCACUGGAAUCUCCCCAACCAACCAACCAACCAACCAACCAACCAACCGUGUUUUCCUCGCCUGUAUUUCCAAGCUUUUUAUUUAGUGAAACUGGCAGCCUUACGUUCCUAUGGCCCUAGCGACUGUGUCUGGCAUGAGGAGGACAGAGGGCGACAUCACUAGGAGGCACUUGUUCUGAGUCUACCCAUUUGAACGCACUGAAACAUGAAUUUAUUUGUAUUUUUUAUUUGUUAAUUUUUUUAAAUUAUGUUGCUGGUAGCUACAUCUUUUAAAAACAACAGCGAUGUUUGUAUUCAUUUAGAAAAUUGGACUGGUUUUGUGAAUAAAAACGAAUGCAUGUAUUUGUGUAAAAAUUUACAGUUCUGAUGUUUGUCUACUUGUCUUUGCAUGUUUUUUUCCCCUAAAACAGCGGGUGAAGUAUGAAAAUGUCCGGUAAAUCUUUCAAAUUUGUUCCCUUUUCAUAUCAUUGGAUGCUAUAAUUUAAAAAAAAAAUAUUGGGCGAGAAAUACAAAUCAUUAAAGCAGAAGGAGGAAAUGGUGUGUUUCAUUCAGAUGUUUCCUGUUGCUCUAGCAUAGAUACCCAAUACAAACAACACUGGUAGUGACAGGGUAGGAACCAAAGUUUUGGUGAGUGUUUCCCAGUGUUUCCCAGGGGGCCCUAAUUAGUGUUCCUCAUGAAAGAGUGUUGUACUUGAAGGUUCUAUGUAGAGAUAGUGUGGAGUUGUUGCAAUGGGUAGAUUGAUGUACAGGUAACUGCCAAAAUAAAGGAUACAUCAACAUAAAGUGUCUUAAUUGGGCGUUGGGCCAGAACAGCUUCAGUGCACCUUGGCAUAGUAGAGUCUACAAGUGUCUGGAACUCUGUUGGAGGGAUGCAACACCAUUCUUCCACGAGAAAUUCCAUAAUUUGUUUUUUUGUUGAUGGUGGUGGAAAACACUGUUUCAGGUGCUGCUCCAGAAUCUCCCAUUAGUGUUCAAUUGGGUUGAGAUCUGGUGACUGAUACACUCGUGCCCUGUGGAUGGGGGCAUUGUCAUCCUAUAGCCAUGGUAGACAAAAUAAUGGCCUGCCCAGAAUUUGUUUACAUGACCCUAAGCAUGAUGGGAUGUUAAUUGCUUAAUUAACUCGGGAACCAUACCUGUGUGGAAUCACCUGCUUUCAAUAAACUUUGUAUUCCUC
Molecule: long non-coding RNA, 2094 nt
Filed under: Salmo salar (Atlantic salmon)
Lineage: Eukaryota; Metazoa; Chordata; Actinopteri; Salmoniformes; Salmonidae
Description: lncRNA (ENSSSAG00000108412.1)
Source: RNAcentral